RNAcentral lists this ribosomal RNA (253 nucleotides) under uncultured bacterium. RNAcentral describes it as "partial 16S ribosomal RNA". It matches the Rfam family "Bacterial small subunit ribosomal RNA", at positions 524 to 776 of the family's 1533-position model. The record is from RNAcentral.
GACGUAGGGCGCAAGCGUUGUCCGGAUUUAUUGGGCGUAAAGAGCUCGUAGGCGGCUUGUUGCGUCGUCCGUGAAAACCUGUGGCUCAACUACAGGCUUGCGGUCGAUACGGGCGGGCUGGAGUUCGGUAGGGGAGACUGGAAUUCCUGGUGUAGCGGUGAAAUGCGCAGAUAUCAGGAAGAGCACCCGUGGCGAAGGCGGCUCUCUGGGACGGUACUGACGCUGAGACGCGAAAGCGUGGGGAGCGAACAGG